CCUACGGUGUGCAGCAGUGGGGAAUAUUGGACAAUGGGCGAAAGCCUGAUCCAGCCAUGCCGCGUGUGUGAAGAAGGCCUUCGGGUUGUAAAGCACUUUCAGUGGGGAAGAAAGCCUUGGGGCUAAUACCCUCGAGGAAGGACAUCACCCACAGAAGAAGCACCGGCUAACUCCGUGCCAGCAGCCGCGGUAAUACGGAGGGUGCGAGCGUUAAUCGGAAUUACUGGGCGUAAAGCGCGCGUAGGCGGUCUGAUAAGCCGGUUGUGAAAGCCCCGGGCUCAACCUGGGAACGGCAUCCGGAACUGUCAGGCUAGAGUGCAGGAGAGGAAGGUAGAAUUCCCGGUGUAGCGGUGAAAUGCGUAGAGAUCGGGAGGAAUACCAGUGGCGAAGGCGGCCUUCUGGACUGACACUGACGCUGAGGUGCGAAAGCGUGGGUAGCAAACAGGAUUAGAUAUCCUGGUAGUC
RNAcentral lists this ribosomal RNA (465 nucleotides) under Vreelandella stevensii. RNAcentral describes it as "partial 16S ribosomal RNA". It matches the Rfam family "Bacterial small subunit ribosomal RNA", at positions 338 to 795 of the family's 1533-position model. The record is from RNAcentral. Lineage: Bacteria; Pseudomonadati; Pseudomonadota; Gammaproteobacteria; Oceanospirillales; Halomonadaceae.